RNAcentral lists this long non-coding RNA (835 nucleotides) under Marmota monax (woodchuck). The record is from RNAcentral. Lineage: Eukaryota; Metazoa; Chordata; Mammalia; Rodentia; Sciuridae.
CAGACAGCAUCCCUGGUUUUCACCUUCUACUUGAUCUUCCGUUCAGCCUUUCUAUCAGUUUUUUAACCAUGCAAAAAUCCUGCUAAUAAAUUACUUUCUUGCUUAAUUAUUAAGCAUUGGGUUUCUAUUGCCUCUCAGAAACCUCAACUCAGACUUCCCAACAGAGAAAACUGCAAUGCAUUCUACAACUGCAAGGAACACUGACAGCUGUCAGGAUUACAAAAGGAUAGAAAUGCUGAGGAACUGUCUCAGUUGACAGAAGGCUAAGGAGAAAUGAACACUAAAUGAGAUCUCCAUUGGACCCUGCAUGAACAGGAAAGGCAACAGGGGAGGCAAGUCCUUCUCUAGUUGAUCCUCACAUAAGAACCAAUCCCUGACCAACACCUUAAUGACCAGCUUGUGAGACCUUAAGAAGAGCCAACUAGGUCACCCCAGACUUCUGAGCUGCAGGUACACUGAAAUCAUAUUCUUAUAGCUGCUUAGAUAGUGGUCAUUUGUUACACAGAGAGAAGAAGAAGAUAACAGUGUUGUGAUGCUACAAUGACCAAUUACAGAAUGAAGAAUCUUCUAUGCUACAAGAAAUUUGUUUCUCAAAAAUAUCCAUGCCUCAAAAAUCAAAACAACAACAACAAAAAAGGAUGAAAGGAUAUCAUUAAAGGAAAAAAGAAAAUUGGGAACACAAUCAAAUGCAUUAUGUAGGCUUUUCAAGGAUGCUGAUUCAAAUGAACCGAUUGCAAAAGAAAUACUUUGAGAAAAUUGGGGAGUUUGGAAAUAGCCUGAAUAGUAAGUUACAAUAAUGCAUUAUUAUUCUUUAUUUAGUAGGAUAAUGACAUAG